UUAUUUGCACAAGGCUAUUGGCUGGGCCAAUCAGAAGCCGGCCACAGCUGUUUUCACGGUAGUGUGUUAGGCUGUAUUUAUCAGAGGUCCGAGCGCUGACGCGGAAGCAUCAGCGGAAGCGUUCAGCCUCCUCGUGUGAAGACAGACGAGGGUAAAGACCAUCGACUUUUCCUGCGCGACUUUAACCGAGCAACGACUCCGAGCGACACACUUAAGCCCGCACGGGCUGCUCCUUCCAACCCCUGGUUAUCCGAGGUUCUUCGUGAACAUCGGACUACACUCAGAGCGGCAGAGAGAAAAUGGCGCAAAUCAAACGAUCUGUCGGACCUCAAACGACAAACUGGAUGCUAAACAGUCAGGUUUCAGGAGGGGCCAUUCAACUGAGACUGCGCUUCUCUCGGUCACUGAAGCCCUGCGAAUUGCAAAAGCCCAUUCCAAAUCAUCAGUCCUCAUUCUGCUGGACCUAUCUGCCGCUUUUGACACUGUCAAUCAUCAGAUACUCCUGUCCACCCUCUCAUCACUGGGCAUCUCUGGCAUUCCACUUCGCUGGUUUGAAUCCUAUCUCACUGAUGAUCCAACGGUAACUGCAAGGAUCUCAGGUUGCCUGGCGGACAUCUCGGCAUGGAUGAAAGAACAUCACCUGCAGCUCAACCUGGCAAAGACUGAGCUUCUUGUCCUCCCUGCCACUCCGACUCUACAGCAUG
This is a long non-coding RNA of Onychostoma macrolepis, 704 nucleotides long. RefSeq lists it as uncharacterized. The record is from RefSeq and is a predicted model, not a curated record. NCBI's taxonomy places the organism in Eukaryota, Metazoa, Chordata, Actinopteri, Cypriniformes, Cyprinidae. The transcript is spliced from 4 exons.